CCUACGGGAGGCAGCAGUGAGGAAUAUUGGACAAUGGGCGCAAGCCUGAUCCAGCCAUGCCGCGUGCAGGAUGACGGUCCUAUGGAUUGUAAACUGCUUUUGCACAGGAAGAAACAACAUUACGUGUAAUGUCUUGACGGUACUGUGAGAAUAAGGAUCGGCUAACUCCGUGCCAGCAGCCGCGGUAAUACGGAGGAUCCAAGCGUUAUCCGGAAUCAUUGGGUUUAAAGGGUCCGUAGGCGGUUUAGUAAGUCAGUGGUGAAAGCCCAUCGCUCAACGGUGGAACGGCCAUUGAUACUGCUAGACUUGAAUUAUUAGGAAGUAACUAGAAUAUGUAGUGUAGCGGUGAAAUGCUUAGAGAUUACAUGGAAUACCAAUUGCGAAGGCAGGUUACUACUAAUUGAUUGACGCUGAUGGACGAAAGCGUGGGUAGCGAACAGGAUUAGAUACCCUGGUAGUCCACGCCGUAAACGAUGGAUACUAGCUGUUGGGAGCGAUCUCAGUGGCUAAGCGAAAGUGAUAAGUAUCCCACCUGGGGAGUACGUUCGCAAGAAUGAAACUUAAAGAGUAGUGACGNGAGAGAGACGACGACGACGACGAGGAGGGAGGAGG
Molecule: ribosomal RNA, 612 nt
Filed under: uncultured bacterium
Lineage: Bacteria
Description: bacterial SSU rRNA
Rfam family: Bacterial small subunit ribosomal RNA
Source: RNAcentral